Molecule: transfer RNA, 72 nt
Organism: Puccinia triticina 1-1 BBBD Race 1
Lineage: Eukaryota; Fungi; Basidiomycota; Pucciniomycetes; Pucciniales; Pucciniaceae
Rfam family: tRNA
About the family: Transfer RNA (tRNA) molecules are approximately 80 nucleotides in length.
Source: Rfam
GUGUACUUAGCUCAAUGGUUAGAGCAUCACUCAUGAAUGCUGAGUAUGUGAGUUUGACUCUCACAGUACACA